RNAcentral lists this ribosomal RNA (482 nucleotides) under uncultured bacterium. RNAcentral describes it as "partial 16S ribosomal RNA". It matches the Rfam family "Bacterial small subunit ribosomal RNA", at positions 28 to 523 of the family's 1533-position model. The record is from RNAcentral.
GACGAACGCUGGCGGCGUGCUUAACACAUGCAAGUCGAACGAUGAAGCUGGAGCUUGCUCCGGUGGAUUAGUGGCGAACGGGUGAGUAACACGUGAGCAAUCUGCCCUUCACUCUGGGAUAACUGCGGGAAACUGUAGCUAAUGCAGGAUACGAGGCUUGGAGGCAUCGCAAGGUCUGGAAAGAAUUUCGGUGAAGGAUGAGCUCGCGGCCUAUGAGCUUGUUGGUGAGGUAAUGGUUAGCCAAGGCGACGACGGGUAGCCGGCCUGAGAGGGUGACCGGCCACACUGGGACUGAGACACGGCCCAGACUCCUACGGAGGCAGCAGUGGGGAAUAUUGCACAAUGGGGGAAAGCCUGAUGCAGCAACGCCGCGUGAGGGAUGAAGGCCUUCGGGUUGUAAACCUCUUUUAGCAAGGAAGAAGCGAAAGUGACGGUACCUGCAGAAAAAGCACCGGCUAACUACGUGCCAGCCGCCGCAGUAA